RNAcentral lists this small RNA (883 nucleotides) under Cephalotrichum microsporum. Its description in RNAcentral is "eukaryotic LSU rRNA". It matches the Rfam family "Eukaryotic large subunit ribosomal RNA", at positions 50 to 960 of the family's 3401-position model. Lineage: Eukaryota; Fungi; Ascomycota; Sordariomycetes; Microascales; Microascaceae. The record is from RNAcentral.
GCGGAGGAAAAGAAACCAACAGGGAUUGCCUCAGUAACGGCGAGUGAAGCGGCAACAGCUCAAAUUUGAAAUCUGGUCCCCUCUGGGGGCCCGAGUUGUAAUUUGAAGAGGAUGCUUUUGGCGAGGCGCCUUCCGAGUGCCCUGGAACGGGACGCCACAGAGGGUGAGAGCCCCGUAUGGUAGGACGCCGAGCCUCUGUAAAGCUCCUUCGACGAGUCGAGUAGUUUGGGAAUGCUGCUCAAAAUGGGAGGUAAACCCCUUCUAAAGCUAAAUAUUGGCCAGAGACCGAUAGCGCACAAGUAGAGUGAUCGAAAGAUGAAAAGCACUUUGAAAAGAGAGUUAAACAGCACGUGAAAUUGUUGAAAGGGAAGCGCUUGCGACCAGACUUGCGCCCGUCGGAUCAACCGUCCCUCGUGGGCGGCGCACUCCGGCGGGCUCAGGCCAGCAUCAGUUUUCCUGGGGGUAGAAAGGCGGUGGGAAUGUAGCUCUUCGGAGUGUUAUAGCCCGCCGCGUAAUGCCCUCGGGGGGACUGAGGACCGCGCGUAUGCAAGGAUGCUGGCGUAAUGGUCGUCAGCGACCCGUCUUGAAACACGGACCAAGGAGUCGUCCUAAUAUGCGAGUGUACGGGUGUAAAACCCCUGCGCGUAAUGAAAGUGAACGGAGGUGAGAGCUUCGGCGCAUCAUCGACCGAUCCUGAUGUUCUCGGAUGGAUUUGAGUAAGAGCAUAUUGGGCCGGACCCGAAAGAAGGUGAACUAUGCCUGUAUAGGGUGAAGCCAGAGGAAACUCUGGUGGAGGCUCGCAGCGGUUCUGACGUGCAAAUCGAUCGUCAAAUAUGGGCAUGGGGGCGAAAGACUAAUCGAACCUUCUAGUAGCUGGUUUCGC